Molecule: ribosomal RNA, 414 nt
Filed under: uncultured bacterium
Lineage: Bacteria
Description: partial 16S ribosomal RNA
Rfam family: Bacterial small subunit ribosomal RNA
Source: RNAcentral
UGGGGAAUAUUGGACAAUGGGGGCAACCCUGAUCCAGCAAUGCCGCGUGUGUGAAGAAGGUUUUCGGAUUGUAAAGCACUUUCGACGGGGACGAUGAUGACGGUACCCGUAGAAGAAGCCCCGGCUAACUUCGUGCCAGCAGCCGCGGUAAUACGAAGGGGGCUAGCGUUGCUCGGAAUGACUGGGCGUAAAGGGCGUGUAGGCGGUUUGUACAGUCAGAUGUGAAAUCCCCGGGCUUAACCUGGGAGCUGCAUUUGAUACGUGCAGACUAGAGUGUGAGAGAGGGUUGUGGAAUUCCCAGUGUAGAGGUGAAAUUCGUAGAUAUUGGGAAGAACACCGGUGGCGAAGGCGGCAACCUGGCUCAUAACUGACGCUGAGGCGCGAAAGCGUGGGGAGCAAACAGGAUUAGAUACC